AGGAUUAGAUACCCUGGUAGUCCACGCCGUAAACGGUGGAUGCUGGAUGUGGGGCCCGUUCCACGGGUUCCGUGUCGGAGCUAACGCGUUAAGCAUCCCGCCUGGGGAGUACGGCCGCAAGGCUAAAACUCAAAGAAAUUGACGGGGGCCCGCACAAGCGGCGGAGCAUGCGGAUUAAUUCGAUGCAACGCGAAGAACCUUACCUGGGCUUGACAUGUUCCCGACGGUCGUAGAGAUACGGCUUCCCUUCGGGGCGGGUUCACAGGUGGUGCAUGGUCGUCGUCAGCUCGUGUCGUGAGAUGUUGGGUUAAGUCCCGCAACGAGCGCAACCCCCGCCCCGUGUUGCCAGCGGAUUAUGCCGGGAACUCACGGGGGACCGCCGGGGUUAACUCGGAGGAAGGUGGGGAUGACGUCAGAUCAUCAUGCCCCUUACGUCCAGGGCUUCACGCAUGCUACAAUGGCCGGUACAACGGGAUGCGACGCGGCGACGCGGAGCGGAUCCCUGAAAACCGGUCUCAGUUCGGAUCGCAGUCUGCAACUCGACUGCGUGAAGGCGGAGUCGCUAGUAAUCGCGAAUCAGCAACGUCGCGGUGAAUGCGUUCCCGGGCCUUGUACACACCGCCCGUCAAGUCAUGAAAGUGGGUAGCACCCGAAGCCGGUGGCCUAACCCUUCGUGGGAUGGAGCCGUCUAAGGUGAGACUCGUGAUUGGGACUAAGUCGUAACAAGGUAGCCGUACCGGAAGGUGCGGCUG
Molecule: ribosomal RNA, 752 nt
Filed under: human gut metagenome
Description: bacterial SSU rRNA
Rfam family: Bacterial small subunit ribosomal RNA
Source: RNAcentral